Molecule: ribosomal RNA, 258 nt
Filed under: uncultured bacterium
Lineage: Bacteria
Description: partial 16S ribosomal RNA
Rfam family: Bacterial small subunit ribosomal RNA
Source: RNAcentral
UGGCGGACGGGUGAGUAACGCGUGGAUAACCUGGCCCAUACAGGGGGAUAGCAGCUGGAAACGGCUGGUAAUACCGCAUAAGCGCACAGGGGCGCAUGCCCUGGUGUGAAAAACUCCGGUGGUAUGGGGUGGGUCCGCGUCUGAUUAGGCAGUUGGCGGGGUAAAGGCCCACCAAACCGACGAUCAGUAGCCGGCCUGAGAGGGUGGGCGGCCACAUUGGGACUGAGACACGGCCCAAACUCCUACGGAAGGCAGCAG